AACCGGAUUAGAUACCCUGGUAGUCCACGCCGUAAACGAUGUCGACUUGGAGGUUGUGCCCUUGAGGCGUGGCUUCCGGAGCUAACGCGUUAAGUCGACCGCCUGGGGAGUACGGCCGCAAGGUUAAAACUCAAAUGAAUUGACGGGGGCCCGCACAAGCGGUGGAGCAUGUGGUUUAAUUCGAUGCAACGCGAAGAACCUUACCUGGUCUUGACAUCCACGGAAGUUUUCAGAGAUGAGAAUGUGCCUUCGGGAACCGUGAGACAGGUGCUGCAUGGCUGUCGUCAGCUCGUGUUGUGAAAUGUUGGGUUAAGUCCCGCAACGAGCGCAACCCUUAUCCUUUGUUGCCAGCGGUCCGGCCGGGAACUCAAAGGAGACUGCCAGUGAUAAACUGGAGGAAGGUGGGGAUGACGUCAAGUCAUCAUGGCCCUUACGACCAGGGCUACACACGUGCUACAAUGGCGCAUACAAAGAGAAGCGACCUCGCGAGAGCAAGCGGACCUCAUAAAGUGCGUCGUAGUCCGGAUUGGAGUCUGCAACUCGACUCCAUGAAGUCGGAAUCGCUAGUAAUCGUGGAUCAGAAUGCCACGGUGAAUACGUUCCCGGGCCUUGUACACACCGCCCGUCACACCAUGGGAGUGGGUUGCAAAAGAAGUAGGUAGCUUAACCUUCGGGAGGGCGCUUACCACUUUGUGAUUCAUGACUGGGGUGAAGUCGUAACAAGGUAGCC
This 730-nucleotide ribosomal RNA is filed under the name uncultured Escherichia sp. RNAcentral describes it as "bacterial SSU rRNA". It matches the Rfam family "Bacterial small subunit ribosomal RNA", at positions 771 to 1501 of the family's 1533-position model. The record is from RNAcentral. Lineage: Bacteria; Pseudomonadati; Pseudomonadota; Gammaproteobacteria; Enterobacterales; Enterobacteriaceae.